UGGGGAAUAUUGCACAAUGGGCGCAAGCCUGAUGCAGCGACGCCGCGUGCGGGAUGGAGGCCUUCGGGUUGUAAACCGCUUUUGUUCAAGGGCAAGGCACGGUCUUUGGCCGUGUUGAGUUGAUUGUUCGAAUAAGCACCGGCUAACUACGUGCC
This 155-nucleotide ribosomal RNA is filed under the name uncultured bacterium. RNAcentral's name for it is "partial 16S ribosomal RNA". It matches the Rfam family "Bacterial small subunit ribosomal RNA", at positions 355 to 509 of the family's 1533-position model. The record is from RNAcentral.